GAUGAACGCUAGCGACAGGCCUAACACAUGCAAGUCGAGGGGCAGCACAAGGAGCAAUCUGAGGUGGCGACCGGCGCACGGGUGAGUAACACGUAUGCAACCUACCUGUAAGAGGGGAAUAACCCGUUGAAAAACGGACUAAUACCGCAUAACACUGUAGAACCGCAUGGUUUGACAGUUAAACAUUUAUGGCUUACAGAUGGGCAUGCGCAUGAUUAGCUAGCUGGUGAGGUAACGGCUCACCAAGGCAACGAUCAUUAGGGGUUCUGAGAGGAAGGUCCCCCACACUGGUACUGAGACACGGACCAGACUCCUACGGGAGGCAGCAGUGAGGAAUAUUGGUCAAUGGGCGCAAGCCUGAUCCAGCCAUGCCGCGUGAGUGAAGAAGGCCCUCGGGUUGUAAAGCUCUUUUGUCCGGAAAGAAAAGCGCCGGGUUAAUACCCUGGUGUCCUGACGGUACCGGAAGAAUAAGCACCGGCUAACUUCGUGCCAGCAGCCG
Molecule: ribosomal RNA, 499 nt
Filed under: uncultured bacterium
Lineage: Bacteria
Description: bacterial SSU rRNA
Rfam family: Bacterial small subunit ribosomal RNA
Source: RNAcentral